Molecule: unclassified non-coding RNA, 356 nt
Filed under: uncultured fungus
Lineage: Eukaryota; Fungi
Description: partial contains small subunit ribosomal RNA, internal transcribed spacer 1, and 5.8S ribosomal RNA
Rfam family: Eukaryotic small subunit ribosomal RNA (bases 1-73)
Source: RNAcentral
GCAAACUUGGUCAUUUAGAGGAAGUAAAAGUCGUAACAAGGUUUCCGUAGGUGAACCUGCGGAAGGAUCAUUAUCAAUACCUUGCUUGCUUGGAUGGAGCAAUCCGUUCUGCAACAAAACCCCCUCUGCGUAUCUGUACAACGUUGCUUCCGCCAGACUGUGGGAACGUCCCCCUGGGGCGGGCCCCCUCCGGUGCCUGGCCAAACGCGGCCGGCUGGGGAGAUGCUGGCGGGUAGCCUGUAUUAAAAACUCUGUCAUUAUCUGUGCCAACUGUCUGAGCUUUUAUGCUAGAAUAAAAACAAGUUAAAACUUUCAACAACGGAUCUCUUGGUUCUCGCAUCGAUGAAGAACGCAGC